UGCCGGGAACUGCGCGGCAGGAGCGCGGCAAACUCCGCCAGGGCCGGAAGGCAGCAACGGUAGUCGUUGCCCUGGGCGACGCACCAUUCCCGGUACUU
Molecule: signal recognition particle RNA, 98 nt
Filed under: Chthonomonadaceae bacterium
Lineage: Bacteria; Bacillati; Armatimonadota; Chthonomonadia; Chthonomonadales; Chthonomonadaceae
Description: signal recognition particle sRNA small type
Rfam family: Bacterial small signal recognition particle RNA
About the family: The signal recognition particle (SRP) is a universally conserved ribonucleoprotein involved in the co-translational targeting of proteins to membranes. Archaeal SRP consists of a 7S RNA and homologues of the eukaryotic SRP19 and SRP54 proteins. In most bacteria, the SRP consists of a 4.5S RNA and the Ffh protein (a homologue of the eukaryotic SRP54 protein).
Source: RNAcentral